This 47-nucleotide ribosomal RNA is filed under the name Macrorhynchia sp. 1 BP-2015. RNAcentral describes it as "partial 28S ribosomal RNA". The record is from RNAcentral. Lineage: Eukaryota; Metazoa; Cnidaria; Hydrozoa; Leptothecata; Aglaopheniidae.
GAUCUCGCAUCAGGCAAGACUACCCGCUGAAUUUAAGCAUAUCGGUA